RNAcentral lists this unclassified non-coding RNA (3078 nucleotides) under Hevea brasiliensis (rubber tree). The record is from RNAcentral. Lineage: Eukaryota; Viridiplantae; Streptophyta; Magnoliopsida; Malpighiales; Euphorbiaceae.
GGCGUCGUUGCAAAGCCCUUUCUCCAGUUCCACUCUCCGAUCGAAAACUUGGCCAAAAAGACAGAAAAGGAUCAAAAAUAGUUUUGCCAGUCUCUGAAUAAUCACUCACUCAAUUUCUCUAUCGCUCGCAGCUUCAUACGCAAGCCAGUCUCUCAAAACGUCAGGUAAAGCAUUACCUCUGUCUCCAUAUCACUUGGUUUACUUUAAUUGAUGAAAUUAUAUAUUCCACCAAACUCUUAAUAAUUCUCCCCUUUUUCCUGUAAUCUCAAAACGCAAUCUGAAUAUCAAUACUUUGAAUUCAGUAGUCCAUGCUUUUCUUUUUCUCUUUUUGAGUGUGAUGUUGUUUGCAUUUGGCUUGUAGGUUUUAUUGCGAGUAGAUCAUGUGGACUAACCCUAGAUUUCUUCUUAGUCAGUUCUAAAACCUUAAAAACGAUUUUCUUACGAAUCCUUAAGAGAGCAUUGCAUAGAUCAUUGGCGAUUGUUUAAUUUAUUUAGGAUUGUUCCGAAAAGACGGGAUUCUUCAUUUCCAAGCCAAACUACGUUGUUUGUUUGGAUCAAAUGAAUACCAUGAAAUUACAAUGCAAGUUGCAAAUAUUUCUGGGUCUGAUUGGAAAUGAUUCUGUUUUCCACGAAGAGUUUACUUUAUAAAGUUUAUAAAGCACGUAAUCAGCUAUCUGUAUUAUCUGAUUUUUCAUAUCCUGGAAUUUCUUCGAGCCACUGAAGAUUCUUCUUAUCUUAUGAUCAUGUGUUGAAACCGAUUUGGUACAUCUUUUUUAUUGUUUACCUGGACUAAUUCUCGGUUGCAGUCACAAAUGCUUUGCUCUGGUUAUAAGAAAACUCUCUUAAAGCUAAAGAAUCAUUCUCCUAUUUGUUUCGUUGACCUACCAUGAGAAAGUAGAAUCUGAUGGGAUGGUUCUAGUAAAUAUUCCUGAGUUUUGGGGAACUGAAUUUACAUGUAUUAAAUGUUGACGUGGUCAUGCAGCAUAUGCACUGAUAGUAACUGAUAUUGAGCCAUUUAAUGUAUUAAUCCUGGCCAACUAUACUCGAAGUGCACUGCACUGUGAAAUUGUUCAUCAACUAACUUUGUUUCCAAUUUAUAAAGUUUGUUUUAGGAUGAUUUUAACAGGUGGAAAAUAUUAUGGUACCUGCACAAAAUUGCGUCCAUAUUGCAUACCUAUUGUGCUUAUGGUAUUGCUGUGCUUUAAAGUGCUAAAGUUGGUUCAUUAAUACAAUCAUAUUAUCAGAAAUGUUUUCAUGGAUGAAAAUUCGUGUUUCUCAUGUGAUAAGCUAUGAAGUCCUUUUUUAAAAUUUAAAUUUUCAUAAUUGUUGCAAUAAUCUUAUUUAAAUUCUGCAAGUUGCUUUUGUGAUGAUAAAUAAUAGGGCAUAUUUGAUUACAUUGGUCUGGUACAUGCAGUGAACAUGUAUUCCACCAUUUGUUGGUAUGGCAUGAUUAUUUAUUAACAGCCUUGAGCAGUUAGUGGCACACUGAUUGCUUAGAUUUUCAUCCUGAAAGGAAAUAAGUAUGUCGUUUUUAUUCAGUCUUUACCCUGGUCCUAUUAUAUUUCUUUGAUCAUUUUGAAACAUGUCAUCUGUGUUUCUGUGCAAAUGCUAUUAUAUCUUCUCUAGCUGAUUUAACUUUUUGCUUUAUAUUUAGUGUGAUACAAAAUGUCUCGAAGAUAUGAUAGCCGCACAACAAUCUUCUCCCCCGAAGGUCGCCUAUACCAAGUAGAGUAUGCAAUGGAGGCCAUUGGAAAUGCAGGAACUGCAAUUGGGAUAUUGGCAAAAGAUGGAGUUGUCUUGGUUGGUGAAAAGAAGGUCACUUCUAAACUCCUGCAGACUUCAACAUCAACUGAGAAGAUGUACAAGAUAGAUGACCACGUAGCAUGUGCUGUGGCUGGCAUAAUGUCUGAUGCCAACAUCCUUAUCAACACUGCUAGAGUUCAAGCCCAACGCUAUACUUAUGCCUACCAGGAACCAAUGCCUGUUGAACAACUUGUGCAAUCUCUUUGUGAUACCAAGCAAGGUUACACACAGUUUGGUGGGCUCCGCCCUUUUGGUGUCUCGUUUCUCUUCGCAGGGUGGGACAAAAAUUUUGGUUUCCAGCUUUACAUGAGUGAUCCUAGUGGAAAUUAUGGUGGUUGGAAGGCUGGAGCCAUUGGGGCAAACAACCAGGCUGCACAGUCAAUGUUGAAGCAGGACUACAAGGAUGAAAUUACAAGAGAAGAAGCAGUUCAGCUGGCACUAAAGGUGCUCAGCAAGACAAUGGACAGUACAAGUCUCACUUCUGAUAAGCUUGAAUUGGCUGAGGUCUUCCUCCUGCCCUCUGGAGAAGUGAAGUACCAGGUUCGUUCACCAGACUCCCUCAGCAAGUUAUUGGUGAAGUUUGGAGUGACUCAAGCUCCUGCUGAGGCCUCUUAAGUUACUGCACUUUUAUUUCAGAUGUGAUUUCGGGAGCAGUUUGGGAUAUGUAUGGCAAAUUGUGUGAUGGAUGCAACUUUUUCCCAAAAUAUAUUCAUGCUUUGAUAGGACUAAAUUAAUAUUGAUGCCCAUGUGUUGGACCUGGUGUAUGAGGUUGAUGUCUUGAUGGCAUCUAACCUGAAGGCAUUUCUGUGGAGCAAAUGUUAUUUCAUAGCCAGGCGCUCUCUUCUAUGAGCUCAUCCUUCAGUUCACUAGCCUUAAAUUUCAUUCCCUUGAUAAUUGAGGAAUGCUUUUUCUAGUUUACUUUCAUUUCAGCUGCGUUGGUAAUUGCACUAAAAAUUCCUGUCAUUUGAGAUGUGUUGCAUGUGCAUUGAGUUUUACUUUUAUGCAUAGAUCACUAGUAUACUUAAAAAUGAAACACUUUAUCACUUUUGCUUAUGCCUUGGAACUUUUUCUACAUUUUGGUGUUAUACACAUGGAUGGCAACGGUACUGUGACAUUGAAGCAAGGAUAGUUUAACCUAUGGGUGCCCGUUGUUUUUAAUUUUAAGAAAUUAUUGCUAUUUUUUCUUACAAAUUUUGGGGGAAAAGUUUUGGUGAUUAUAAAAGGAUAAGAACUAUGAGUGGUUGCUAAGUUUUUACAAUGUAUUGUUAGUUUUCU